Molecule: long non-coding RNA, 347 nt
Filed under: Homo sapiens (human)
Lineage: Eukaryota; Metazoa; Chordata; Mammalia; Primates; Hominidae
Description: non-protein coding lnc-PLD3-2:1
Source: RNAcentral
CCCGGCAUCUUUCACCUGGCAUCUUCCUGCAUCUGCUAUUUGACUCUGGCCAUCUCGGGGUUUCACCCUGUUGGCCAGGCUGGUCUUAAACUUCUGACCUCAGAUGAUCUGCCCUCCUCAGCCUCCCUAAGUGCUGGAAUUACAGGCAUGAGCCACCGCACCCAGCUGUGGCCGUAGUUGUUAAGUCCCUAUCUCUGUCUCUUCCAGCCUUUGUGUCUGGUUCGAGUGACUGACUCUGUCUCUGUUUCUCUCCACUAGAACUAUGCAAAGGAGGGUUAGGACCCUAUUCUUCCUCUUGCACCCCACACCUUGUCCAUCAGCCAACAGAUCUAGAAUCUGCUCCCUCU